UGAUCAUCAUCUGCAUUACUCUUUCUCUCUUCCUUCUUUCUUGGGUUAAUUACAAAAAUGGCCCUGGGUUCUUGAUAAUAUAUACUUAUUCCCUAAAUUGUUGUAUUAUAAUCCUUAGUCCCUAAAUUGUUAUAUUAUAAACACUAUAGUCCCUUAGAAAUUUUAUGCUUUUCAAUGAUGAUAUUAUAAAGACUUAAAUUGCCAAUUUUGAAGCAAUAGGGGGAA
This 225-nucleotide unclassified non-coding RNA is filed under the name Hevea brasiliensis (rubber tree). Lineage: Eukaryota; Viridiplantae; Streptophyta; Magnoliopsida; Malpighiales; Euphorbiaceae. The record is from RNAcentral.